RNAcentral lists this ribosomal RNA (377 nucleotides) under uncultured bacterium. RNAcentral describes it as "partial 16S ribosomal RNA". It matches the Rfam family "Bacterial small subunit ribosomal RNA", at positions 355 to 724 of the family's 1533-position model. The record is from RNAcentral.
UGGGGAAUUUUGGACAAUGGGCGCAAGCCUGAUCCAGCCAUGCCGCGUGUCUGAAGAAGGCCUUCGGGUUGUAAAGGACUUUUGUCAGGGAAGAAAAGGGCGGGGUUAAUACCCCUGUCUGAUGACGGUACCUGAAGAAUAAGCACCGGCUAACUACGUGCCAGCAGCCGCGGUAAUACGUAGGGUGCGAGCGUUAAUCGGAAUUACUGGGCGUAAAGCGGGCGCAGACGGUUACUUAAGCAGGAUGUGAAAUCCCCGGGCUCAACCUGGGAACUGCGUUCUGAACUGGGUGACUAGAGUGUGUCAGAGGGAGGUAGAAUUCCACGUGUAGCAGUGAAAUGCGUAGAGAUGUGGAGGAAUACCGAUGGCGAAGGCAG